AAACACAAAUAGGCAGACAGGGAGAGAGGAACAGACUGAAAAGAAAUAGCUGGAAAGAGGAGAAGUGUUUGAAAGGACUUUGUUUGAAUCAACCCUAAAGACCAGAUUCUAGCUAAAUAUCUGAACCUUGUUAAAGAGAGCUUGCAAUUCCAUUCUUAAGGGAACUCUUAUUGAUAGAGAUGGAAUAGGGAGUUAUAUGGACUUAUAGAAUAGAGCUGAACCCAAGAACAAAGAACUCAAGUACAUCUAACUAUACCAGCCACUUGGGGGCAAACAGACUGACGUCAAGACGUUUCAAGAAGUGUCUAGAAACAUUUGAGCUUUGUGAGAAUACCAGAUGACCGAAAACAAGAGAGAACUGAAUAUGCAGC
Lepisosteus oculatus (spotted gar) is the source of this 371-nucleotide long non-coding RNA. RefSeq lists it as uncharacterized. NCBI's taxonomy places the organism in Eukaryota, Metazoa, Chordata, Actinopteri, Semionotiformes, Lepisosteidae. The record is from RefSeq and is a predicted model, not a curated record.